Molecule: ribosomal RNA, 383 nt
Filed under: uncultured Exiguobacterium sp.
Lineage: Bacteria; Bacillati; Bacillota; Bacilli; Caryophanales
Description: bacterial SSU rRNA
Rfam family: Bacterial small subunit ribosomal RNA
Source: RNAcentral
AGCGUUGUCCGGAAUUAUUGGGCGUAAAGCGCGCGCAGGCGGCCUUUUAAGUCUGAUGUGAAAGCCCCCGGCUCAACCGGGGAGGGCCAUUGGAAACUGGAAGGCUUGAGUACAGAAGAGAAGAGUGGAAUUCCACGUGUAGCGGUGAAAUGCGUAGAGAUGUGGAGGAACACCAGUGGCGAAGGCGACUCUUUGGUCUGUAACUGACGCUGAGGCGCGAAAGCGUGGGGAGCAAACAGGAUUAGAUACCCUGGUAGUCCACGCCGUAAACGAUGAGUGCUAGGUGUUGGGGGGUUUCCGCCCCUCAGUGCUGAAGCUAACGCAUUAAGCACUCCGCCUGGGGAGUACGGCCGCAAGGCUGAAACUCAAAGGAAAAUUGACGG